GACGAACGCUGGCGGCGUGCUUAACACAUGCAAGUCGAGCGGUAAGGCCCUUUCGGGGGUACACGAGCGGCGAACGGGUGAGUAACACGUGGGUGACCUGCCCUCAGCUCUGGGAUAAGCCUGGGAAACUGGGUCUAAUACCGGAUAUGACUUCGCAUCGCAUGGUGUGGGGUGGAAAGUUUUUCGGCUGGGGAGUGGGCCCGCGGCCUAUCAGCUUGUUGGUGGGGUGAUGGCCUACCAAGGCGACGACGGGUAGCCGGCCUGAGAGGGCGACCGGCCACACUGGGACUGAGACACGGCCCAGACUCCUACGGGAGGCAGCAGUGGGGAAUCUUGCGCAAUGGGCGAAAGCCUGACGCAGCGACGCCGCGUGAGGGAUGACGGCCU
RNAcentral lists this ribosomal RNA (387 nucleotides) under uncultured bacterium. RNAcentral's name for it is "bacterial SSU rRNA". It matches the Rfam family "Bacterial small subunit ribosomal RNA", at positions 28 to 417 of the family's 1533-position model. The record is from RNAcentral.